AGUGAACGCUGGCGGUAGGCCUAACACAUGCAAGUCGAACGGCAGCACAGUAAGAGCUUGCUCUUACGGGUGGCGAGUGGCGGACGGGUGAGGAAUACAUCGGAAUCUACUUUUUCGUGGGGGAUAACGUAGGGAAACUUACGCUAAUACCGCAUACGACCUACGGGUGAAAGCAGGGGAUCUUCGGACCUUGCGCGAUUGAAUGAGCCGAUGUCGGAUUAGCUAGUUGGCGGGGUAAAGGCCCACCAAGGCGACGAUCCGUAGCUGGUCUGAGAGGAUGAUCAGCCACACUGGAACUGAGACACGGUCCAGACUCCUACGGGAGGCAGCAGUGGGGAAUAUUGGGCAAUGGGCGCAAGCCUGAUCCAGCCAUACCGCGUGGGUGAAGAAGGCCUUCGGGUUGUAAAGCCCUUUUGCUGGGAAAGAAAAGCAGCAGGUUAAUACCCCGCUGUUCUGACGGUACCCAAAGAAUAAGCACCGGCUAACUUCGUG
Molecule: ribosomal RNA, 492 nt
Filed under: uncultured bacterium
Lineage: Bacteria
Description: partial 16S ribosomal RNA
Rfam family: Bacterial small subunit ribosomal RNA
Source: RNAcentral